This 1562-nucleotide long non-coding RNA is filed under the name Malus domestica (apple). RNAcentral's name for it is "long non-coding RNA (MDOM_LNC006639)". The record is from RNAcentral. Lineage: Eukaryota; Viridiplantae; Streptophyta; Magnoliopsida; Rosales; Rosaceae.
AGAUGACCUUUGAAGUGCAGUAUAUCGUUGAAUGACCCUUUCAUUGUAACGUCUAUCCCUUUCUAAUGGCUCGUGUUGCACGGGUUCUUCGAUGGCAUCAUGCGCACAAUAUAUUCGUGUUCUUGAAUUGUUCAUCGUGUCUGGCUCUGGCUCAUAUUCAUCAACCGCAUCAUAAUCGAACUCAUCUUCCACAAUCAUGUUGUGAAGAAUGACGCACGUCAUCAUGAUGGAUCGAAGUGACUCUACAUUGAACAUUCUGGCAGCACCCCUGACGAUCGCCCAACGAGCUUGAAGGAUACCAAAACAACGCUCCACAUCCUUCCUGUACCCCUCUUGACAGCUUGCAAAGUGUUUUUCCUUUGCACUUCGCGGACGUGGCACUGUUUUGACAAAUGUUUCCCACAGUGGGUAAAUGCCGUCAGCUAGGUAGUUGUUGCGAGAAUUACUUGACACACAAAUUAAACCCUCUUUUUGACAAUUGUAGUAUAGAUGUAAGUAGGGUAUCGUUCUAGGCCGGGGAUUAGGAGGGAUUGCUAAUCUAUUCUAAAUUAAUUUAAAAAUAUUAAACAAGACUCAAGGACACAAAACUAGGCUAAAAACUCUAAUAACUCGAAACACACUUAGAAUGACUCAAAAUAAUGAAAACAAUCAAAUUAGACACUAGGAACUGAAAUGGACGGAAAUUGAAUUAAAAGACUAACAACAAUGAAAACUAACUAAAUAAUAUAAUUUAAUAAUGGGGGGGUUUGGUUUUGAUGAAAAGUAAAUUAAACUUAAAUAAAUUACAGAAUUGACAAAAACAUGAAAUUAAGGUGAAAGGAUAGGUGACGGACUAGCUAGAGGGUUCUUCUCCACACAUGACACAUAUGCAACCUAAAUUGAUUUUUUAAUUGUUCUUUCAAUAAAUUGUAAAUCUCAACGCCCCAAAUUAACCGUGAAUUGCACUAAUUAACCCUUAAUUUUUCCACAAGUUAUUGGGUUGGAUGAUUGCAUACGACAACCCAAAACAUUCCCUACAAGUUCCCUACAUGAAUUGCAUAAUAGAGAUACAAGUAAGAAUCAUUAAAUUCUAUGAAAAACAUAAGCAUUGAUGAGGCACUCGUUACUAUGAUUUGCAUGAAACUUAUGCCAAGAAUUUACUUAACGUGAUGUGACUAGCAACCUUCACUACUUGUGAAUAUAAGUUCAUAACGAUUAGGUGAAAUUCACUUAUAUUCUAGCAUCAAAUUCAUGCAUGUAAAUUAAGUAUGCAUCCUUAAUCGACAUACAAAAAUUAGUUAUCAAUCAAGCAGUUAAGCAAAUUAAAUCACAACUAAAGGUAAUCAAUUCAUAUUACAAAUAUAUUCAUGGCUUUGAAUUAACCUCAAGCCAAAAUAAAUUUAGUUACACAUUAUUUAAAACAGAAAUAAAAUAUAAGUUUGGAAAGAUUUAACCGAAAGAUAAGAAGCUCUGCUCUCUGCCGUCUGUUUCUUUCUUCCUGUGCUCACUUUCUCUCUACAUUUUUCCUGUGCCAGUCACUCCUCCCUUCUGCGAGCUGCCCGUCUGUUUCCCUGUCCUCUGCC